GACGAACGCUGGCGGCGUGCUUAACACAUGCAAGUCGAACGGGUCUGCCCUGUUUUUUGCGGGGUGGGUCAGUGGCGAACGGGUGAGUAACACGUGAGUAACCUGCCCCUCACUUCUGGAUAACCGCUUGAAAGGGUGGCUAAUACGGGGUGUUCUGGCUGUGCCGCAUGGUGUGGCUGGGAAAGAUUCACUUUUGUGGUGUUUUGGUGGGGGAUGGGCUCGCGGCCUAUCAGCUUGUUGGUGGGGUGAUGGCCUGCCAAGGCUUUGACGGGUAGCCGGCCUGAGAGGGUGGGCGGUCACACUGGGACUGAGAUACGGCCCAGACUACUGCGGGAGGCAGCAGUGGGGGGUAGUGCACAAUGGGCGGAAGCCUGAUGCAGCGACGUCGCGUGAGGGAUGGAGGCCUUCGGGUUGUGAACCUCUUUCGCCGGUGAAGAAGGUCCUGCUCUUUGUGGUGGGGUUGACGGUAGCCGGGUUAUGAAGCGCCGGCUAACUACGUG
Molecule: ribosomal RNA, 500 nt
Filed under: uncultured bacterium
Lineage: Bacteria
Description: partial 16S ribosomal RNA
Rfam family: Bacterial small subunit ribosomal RNA
Source: RNAcentral